CUGCCGCGCUUCGGCCACAGUCUCGUUAACGGCGUCCGUCAUGUCGUACGCUGUGUUCUCUCUCUCGCACGGUUAACAGUGCUCGGUUACGCCGCCCCACCGCCACGCCUCCUCACGCUAACCGACUACUCGGCUGCGCACUCGUCUUACCAAGCAACGCGUCUUGUUCUUGGCCAGCCAGCAACCAACUUUCAUUUGUUGCAACAAUUUCAAUUGCAUGUCGGUCGGUGCCAGGCAUGCCCCAAGCAUUCGCUCCGACUUUCUGCUCCUAGUGGCAGCAGUAUCCGACGGAUGCGUAACGCGAUCAAGUGGAGCCCUUGCCCUCUCUCUAGGUGUUUAAAAACAAAGAAAUACUCGUACAACAAAUGAAUUGAAUUGAAUAUUUACUCGCUCAGGUUUUACAACAACAA
Long non-coding RNA from Drosophila obscura, 410 nucleotides. RefSeq lists it as uncharacterized. NCBI's taxonomy places the organism in Eukaryota, Metazoa, Arthropoda, Insecta, Diptera, Drosophilidae. The transcript is spliced from 2 exons. The record is from RefSeq and is a predicted model, not a curated record.